RNAcentral lists this unclassified non-coding RNA (542 nucleotides) under Hevea brasiliensis (rubber tree). The record is from RNAcentral. Lineage: Eukaryota; Viridiplantae; Streptophyta; Magnoliopsida; Malpighiales; Euphorbiaceae.
UGUUAGCUUGUGAGGAUUCAAUUCAAAUGGGCCAUGACUGUGAGGUGAUGUGAUAGAGGGAGUUAACUGGAAAUGGGGGGCACUGCUGCACUUGGGCUUGCUGGCAGACUUGGUAGAUCGAAGUGACUAGUGAGACAGAGAGAAGAAUUGAGACAGAUAUAGAGAGGGUAGAGAGGAGAUGACAGUGAGACACAAUUGAGAAUUUAUAAAUGAGUUUUAGUUUUGGGGUUGGAAACUUAAAACCACAGUAUAUCAUACCUAAAAAUAAAAAUUUAUUUAAAUUAUAGUAGAAUUCUAGUUUGGUUUUUAUGGUUUUUUCCCCUAAAAACCAAACUGAAUUGAAUAAACCAAAAUUUUUAUUGUGGGAUCGUUGAAUCUGGUUUAAUAUCGUUUUCCCAUAAAAAUUCGAUAAAUUUGAUAGGUUUGAAUAUUUAAUUAAACUUAUUUAAUUAUUUUUUAGGUUAACAUGAAGCCCUAAAAAUAUUAAAUUAAGCUUAGUUAAAUAAUUUGGGCUUUUAGGUUGUUCUAUUAAAAAAAAAAAA